This 710-nucleotide long non-coding RNA is filed under the name Salvia miltiorrhiza (redroot sage). RNAcentral's name for it is "long non-coding RNA (SMIL_LNC001489)". The record is from RNAcentral. Lineage: Eukaryota; Viridiplantae; Streptophyta; Magnoliopsida; Lamiales; Lamiaceae.
GCGUAUCCGCCGCCCCCGCCAGCUCCCCCUCCUUCGCCACCGCCAUAACCCCCUCCAUGGGCCCCUCCGGCACCACCACCAACGCCUGCGCCGCUACCAUAACCACCGGCUCCCGCUCCCCCAGCUGAUCCCGCUCCACCUCCUCCUCCGUGUCCACUUCCGCCACCAUAUCCUCCAUCCGCAGAGUAUCCACUUCCGGCACCUCCUCCUUCACCGCCACCAUACCCACCUGCAUGUCCCCCACCACCUCCUCCUCCUCCACUGCCACCGCCACCUCCACCUCCUCCUCCACCACCUCCACCUCCACUUGCACCACCACCGGCACCACCGCCUCCUCCCUGACCGCCCCCACUCCCAUACCCAGCACCAUGCUCCCCACCACCAGCAUAUCCACCUCCUCCACCACCACCAUUGCCGGCUCCGCCGCCACCUCCGCCGCCAUGCUCCCCACCAUAUCCAGCCCCACCUCCUACACCACUUCCUCCACCACUAGCAUAGCCGCCGUGGUCGGCUACGGCACCACCAGACCCUCCGCCGCCGUAAGCAUUAGGAUGGUUGCUGGUAGCUUCUAGAAGCGUCCUUGCAGCAGAGGAUAUCGCUACACCCAACAACACAAAGAAAACAAUACUAACAACUCUGUUUGAAGCCAUUUAGAAUGUUAUGAAACGGUUGAUGAGAAGUGCAUGGAAUUGUAGGGUAUUUAUAGGCGC